Molecule: transfer RNA, 73 nt
Filed under: Cricetulus griseus (Chinese hamster)
Lineage: Eukaryota; Metazoa; Chordata; Mammalia; Rodentia; Cricetidae
Rfam family: tRNA
About the family: Transfer RNA (tRNA) molecules are approximately 80 nucleotides in length. Their secondary structure includes four short double-helical elements and three loops (D, anti-codon, and T loops). Further hydrogen bonds mediate the characteristic L-shaped molecular structure. tRNAs have two regions of fundamental functional importance: the anti-codon, which is responsible for specific mRNA codon recognition, and the 3' end, to which the tRNAs corresponding amino acid is attached (by aminoacyl-tRNA synthetases). tRNAs cope with the degeneracy of the genetic code in two manners: having more than one tRNA (with a specific anti-codon) for a particular amino acid; and 'wobble' base-pairing, i.e. permitting non-standard base-pairing at the 3rd anti-codon position.
Source: Rfam by way of RNAcentral
UGGGGUGCAGUUGAGUUGUAGAAGCGCUUGCUUGGCAAGUAUGAGGCCUUGGGUUUAAUUCCCACCUCCACAC